GGGCGUGUAACUCAGCGGUCAGAGUGCUAUCUUCACAUGAUAGAAGUCCGGGGUUCAAAUCCUCGCACGCCCA
Molecule: transfer RNA, 73 nt
Filed under: Parcubacteria bacterium DG_72
Lineage: Bacteria; Candidatus Parcubacteria
Description: tRNA-Val
Rfam family: tRNA
About the family: Transfer RNA (tRNA) molecules are approximately 80 nucleotides in length. Their secondary structure includes four short double-helical elements and three loops (D, anti-codon, and T loops).
Source: RNAcentral